UGGUGGAGUGAUUUGUCUGCUUAAUUGCGAUAACGAACGAGACCUUAACCUGCUAAAUAGCCAGGCCCGCUUUUGCGGGUCGCAGGCUUCUUAGAGGGACUAUCGGAUUUCAAGACGAUGGAAGUUUGAGGCAAUAACA
Molecule: ribosomal RNA, 139 nt
Filed under: uncultured eukaryote
Lineage: Eukaryota
Description: partial 18S ribosomal RNA
Rfam family: Eukaryotic small subunit ribosomal RNA
Source: RNAcentral